RNAcentral lists this ribosomal RNA (301 nucleotides) under uncultured bacterium. RNAcentral's name for it is "partial 16S ribosomal RNA". It matches the Rfam family "Bacterial small subunit ribosomal RNA", at positions 509 to 807 of the family's 1533-position model. The record is from RNAcentral.
CAGUCGCCGCGGUAACACAGAGGGUGCAAGCGUUAAUCGGAAUUACUGGGCGUAAAGCGCGCGUAGGUGGUUUGUUAAGUUGGAUGUGAAAUCCCCGGGCUCAACCUGGGAACUGCAUCCAAAACUGGCAAGCUAGAGUAUGGUAUAGGGUGGUGGAAUUUCCUGUGUAGCGGUGAAAUGCGUAGAUAUAGGAAGGAACACCAGUGGCGAAGGCGACCACCUGGACUGAUACUGACACUGAGGUGCGAAAGCGUGGGGAGCAAACAGGAUUAGAUACCCCGGUAGUCCCUGUCUCUUAUAC